AGCAGUGUGGCUCAGUGGAAAGAGCCCGGGCUUUGGAGUCCGAUGUCAUGAGUUCAAAUCUUGGCUCUGCCA
RNAcentral lists this transfer RNA (72 nucleotides) under Ornithorhynchus anatinus (platypus). It matches the Rfam family "tRNA". From Rfam's summary of the family: Transfer RNA (tRNA) molecules are approximately 80 nucleotides in length. Their secondary structure includes four short double-helical elements and three loops (D, anti-codon, and T loops). The record is from Rfam by way of RNAcentral. Lineage: Eukaryota; Metazoa; Chordata; Mammalia; Monotremata; Ornithorhynchidae.